UGGUGCAUGUGGCUUAUUCGACGCAACGCGAAGAACCUUACCAAGGCUUGACAUACACCGGAAAACCCUGGAGACAGGGUCCCCCUUGUGGUCGGUGUACAGGUGGUGCAUGGCUGUCGUCAGCUCGUGUCGUGAGAUGUUGGGUUAAGUCCCGCAACGAGCGCAACCCUUGUUCUGUGUUGCCAGCAUGCCCUUCGGGGUGAUGGGGACUCACAGGAGACUGCCGGGGUCACUCCGGAGGAAGA
This 245-nucleotide ribosomal RNA is filed under the name Streptomyces angustmyceticus. RNAcentral describes it as "partial 16S ribosomal RNA". It matches the Rfam family "Bacterial small subunit ribosomal RNA", at positions 933 to 1173 of the family's 1533-position model. The record is from RNAcentral. Lineage: Bacteria; Bacillati; Actinomycetota; Actinomycetes; Kitasatosporales; Streptomycetaceae.